Small nuclear RNA from Vombatus ursinus (common wombat), 103 nucleotides. Lineage: Eukaryota; Metazoa; Chordata; Mammalia; Diprotodontia; Vombatidae. The record is from Ensembl.
AGAAUAAAUGCUUUUGGAAGGUAAAAUUGGAAUGAUACAGAGAAGAUUAGCAUAGCCCCUGCACAAGGAUGACAUGCAAAUUUGUGAAACCUUUCAUAUUUUU